Molecule: ribosomal RNA, 429 nt
Filed under: Bacteroidota bacterium
Lineage: Bacteria; Pseudomonadati; Bacteroidota
Description: Bacteroidetes bacterium partial 16S ribosomal RNA
Rfam family: Bacterial small subunit ribosomal RNA
Source: RNAcentral
UAGGGAAUCUUCCGCAAUGGACGCAAGUCUGACGGAGCAACGCCGCGUGAGUGAAGAAGGAUUUCGGUUCGUAAAACUCUGUUGUUAGAGAAGAACAGCGCAUAGAGUAACUGUUAUGCGUGUGACGGUAUCUAACCAGAAAGCCACGGCUAACUACGUGCCAGCAGCCGCGGUAAUACGUAGGUGGCAAGCGUUGUCCGGAUUUAUUGGGCGUAAAGCGAGCGCAGGCGGUCAAUUAAGUCUGAUGUGAAAGCCCCCGGCUCAACCGGGGAGGGUCAUUGGAAACUGGUUGACUUGAGUGCAGAAGAGGAGAGUGGAAUUCCAUGUGUAGCGGUGAAAUGCGUAGAUAUAUGGAGGAACACCGAUGGCGAAAGCGGCUCUCUGGUCUGUAACUGACGCUGAUGUGCGAAAGCGUGGGGAUCAAACAGG